AGAGAGGGGAAAGUACCUCUAGGAGAGAAGGCCGCAGCUGGGAGCUGGCUGGCCUGGGAGGGUGCAGACACCCUUCCUGGGGAAACACUGCAUCUUUAUCAAGGAAAACUCCCCCAUGGGCCUGUUUGGUCAGGCAGUGCCUCUGGGCAGGACCGGGAGGAGUUCAGACAGCUAAGAGUCAAAUGGCCCUACCCAUAAUGGGAAUUUAGAGCUGCUCAUGGGCACUGUGGAAGAGGAGAAAGACCCAGAGGGAGACCCACUGCAGCCAAGGAGGCUACGUAGAGGCAGUGGAUGAGAAAACGGAAGAUGAGAGAGAUCGAAUGACUUGUUCAAGGACACACAGUCGGGAAGUAGCAUCUCCCAGCCUGCGCCGGGACAGCUGCUGUCAGCAUCACUGAGGGAAAUGCCACCUCGGCCCUGACAGCUGCCACUUGGCACACUUUGUAGAGAGCUUCUCCGGGAAGGAAAAAACCAGCCAGUCAUGCAGAUGCUAUUUAAAAUGAGGAAACUGAGGCCAAGACAGGGGCAGGGGCUGGCCCAAGAUCACAGAGCAAGUCAGAAUUGCAGAAUAUGAGAGCAGGACAUCAUGAUCAAAAUCUUCAAAUCUAACACCCAUAUUGUACCAAUGGAGAAACUUCGGCCCAGAAAGGAGAAGCAAUUUGCCCACGUCCAUGCAGAAAAUCAGUGGCAGAGCUGGGAUCUGAGCCCAGAUCCAGGAGCACCAUGUGCCUGCCCUAUACAGCUGCUCUGGGGGCUUCCCCCAUGCUGGAAUUGGUUUCUACUCCACCAGGAAGUAUGGUUCGAGUGAGCAUGACACGGAAUGGAAUCAUCAGUGUCUGAUGGAGCCCAGGACAUCUUGGCUGCCCCUUCCAGCCUAGGGGAGAAGGGAGGGAAGACACAGUAAGGACAGACCCAGGAACCUCCCAGUCACUGUGCCAGCCUCUACACAUGCGUCCCUCCCGCAGGCUCGGUGUCAUCGGCUGAGUGUGUGUUUUGCAUCUCGUGUCUCCUUUAGUCUAACAGCAGCGUGGGAAGGCAAAGAGGAGCCUCAUCCCCAUCUUCCAGAUGAGGUAACUGAGGGCUUCCAGGGUCUUUCUGCCCCCAGGAGGUUGAAGUGAAAAAGCAUUCAAGUCAGAAAGACCCUGAGCGCUCCUCGCUUUGCAGCCCGGGAAGGUUUCCCUCUUCCUUGAGACCGUGGGGUGGGUCUCUGAGCCCUGCUGGAGAAGGGCUUGGAGACUGCAUGGAACCUCAGACAGAAAACGUGCUGUGAUUGCUGAGCGAUGCCUUCCACGGAUGCAGGAGCGUGACGUGGCAAUGUGUGACUUUGGUCAACCUGUUUCCAGUCAUCUGCCUGACCAAGUGCGUGGCUUAGAGACGGGAGCCACUUGCUUAUGGUCCCAAAGGAGACAGUGUUCGGCAAGGGAAGACCCUGCCCGGCCCAGCUCUCUCCCCGCCUGACCCUGCAUCGUUUCUGCUUUCUUAACUCGGUGCCUCUGCCAUCGAUGGUCCUGGCUGCUAGGAAGCCAGUCAUUCAGAGGGGACUGAGGAGUUGGUCAAGAGGCAGCCCCUGGCCUUGCCUCUGCCCCCAUGGCCUCUCACUGUAAUAUUUGUGUUAUCCAGGAAACUCAAGAGCUGCACCAGGAAGAGGUAGGAAGAAAGCAGGCCUUUGGUACACCAUCUAGCUGCACUCCUCACCCACGGUCUCCGGGUGCAGACCCAACAAGGCUGCUCCCACCUCGCCCGGGGCAGCACGUGAGUUCAUACAGCAGACACCAGCAAGACCGCCAGAGCCAGCAGGAACACGGGAAACACACACAGAUGCACACACCCAUUGAGCAAAUAUUGGAAAUUCACUUUUGUACACAGAUACCUAUAUGGUCACAGAUACAUAUAGUAACAGAGAAUCCAGAGAAUAGAGUGUAACAAAUGUCCAUGCACCCACCACUCGAGUCAAUACAUGUUAACAAUUUGUUAGUUGUGUUUUAGACAUUUUUAAAUAAAAGAAACAGAUGUUGAAGAUUUUUUUUUCCUUGAGACAGAACCCCCCGCUGCUGCCCAGGCUGGAGGCUGGCGUGCCAUGGUGCAGUCUCAGCUCACUGUAACCUCUGCCUCCCAGGUUCAAGUGAUUCUCCUGCCUCAGCCUCCUGAAUAGCUGGGACUACAGGCGCACGCCACCACACCUGGCUAAUUUUUGUAUUUUUAGUAGAGAUGGGGUUUCACCAUGUUGGCCAGGCUGGUCUCGAACUCCUGACCUCAGGUGAUCCGCCCUCCUCAGCCUCCCAAAGUGCUGGAAUUACAGACGUGAGCCACCUUGCCCGGCUGAAGAUAUUUUAAUUGAAAUCCUUUUCAUCCCCCUCCGUUUCAUUUCCCUUCUCUACACAGAGGCAGAGCCAGAGGCUGGAGUGCCAUAAUGCGAUCAUGGCUCACUGCAGCCUCAAUCUCCUGGGCUCAAGAGAUCCUUCUGCCUCAGCUUCCCAAAUGCUGGGACCACAGGCACAUACCACAAUGCCUGCUAAUUUUUUAAUUUUUUGUAGAGACAGGAGUCUCGCUAUGUUGCCCAGGCUAAACUUGAACUCCUGGGCUCAAGCAAUCCUCCCACCUUCGCCAUCCAAAGUGCUGGGAUUACAGGCGUGAGCCACUGCACUCAGCCUCUAAGUUCAUUAAAACCAUAAACAAUAUAUAGUACUGCUAUUUGUAUGCUUUAAAAUUUUAAAUAAAUAGUGUCUGAUAUGGUUAGGUUUUGUGUCCUCACCCAAAUCUCGGUUUGAAGUGUAAUUCCCAUAAUCCCCACAUGUCCAGGGAAAGACCAGGUGGAGAUAAUUGAAUCGUGGGAGUGUUUCCCCCAUGUUGUUCUCAUGAUAGUGAAUGAGUGAUCAUGAGAUCCAAUGGCUUUAUAAGGGGCUCUUCCUGCAUCACUCGACACUUCUCCUUCCUGCUGCCUUGUGAAGAAGGUGCCUUGCUUCUCCUGUGCCUUCCGCCAUGACUGUAAGUUCCCUGAGGCCUCCCCCAGACAUGUGGAACUGUGAGCCAAUUAAACCUCUUUCCUUUAUAAGUUGCCCAGUCUUGAGUAUUUCCUUACAGCAAUAUGAGAACAGUCAAAUACAGUGUCAUAUUAUAACCUUUCAACUUACUUUUGUAUUUGUUUCUUAGGGAUGCUGUAACAGGUAUCACAAACCAUGUGGCUUCAAAUAACAGAAAUUUAUCCUGCCCCAGUUCUAGGAGCUAGA
This 3227-nucleotide long non-coding RNA is filed under the name Homo sapiens (human). RNAcentral's name for it is "HSALNT0155167". The record is from RNAcentral. Lineage: Eukaryota; Metazoa; Chordata; Mammalia; Primates; Hominidae.